RNAcentral lists this unclassified non-coding RNA (6389 nucleotides) under Hevea brasiliensis (rubber tree). Lineage: Eukaryota; Viridiplantae; Streptophyta; Magnoliopsida; Malpighiales; Euphorbiaceae. The record is from RNAcentral.
UGGCUGAAUCACAUGGAAGAGUUCAACAAGUAGCUUAGCAGUUAUGUACUUUGUACUCGGUUCUUAAAUAGAGAUUACUUUGAGAACUACGUGGACUUGAUCCUCCUCCGUAGGAGGUACGUAGGCAGCCUUCGGGUGCGGUCCAAAUUAUGUAAUAACUAUUUUUUGUUUGUUUUAAAUUCUUUUUGUUUGUUUUUCAAUUCACAUUUGCAUUUCACUUGGCUUUUGGAUUUUUGUCAUUUGAGCAAUAUUGUGUAAUAAGGAAUUGAUGUUAUUGUCCUUAAGAAGUCAUCCUAUGACCCAUAUUCUUUAUUGUUAUCAAAUGUAAGAAUUCAUCUUAAGGCCCCAUAUUCUUAAUUCUAUUAUUCAUCCUCUCAUUUUCAAUGAAGUCAAUAUUGUUUUCAUUUUUUCCUUUGUUGAAUACUCCCAAUACCUACUCUUCAUUAUGAUUCAAAAGGAUCGUAUGUUAAAUUGUGCAGUAUAUCCUUUGCUGCAUUAAGAUAUUUUGGUAAUUUGAUUGAUUCCAUUCCAUCAAAAUGUUAUCACAUUACUCUUAUCUUUGUUAUUGCUCUUUUCUUAUACAUAAAUAUCAUUUUGCCCUUCUCAAUUUAGUUGGGAAAACGACACUUAAAAAAAAAAAGAAAAUUGAAAUUGAGGAAAUCCCAAAUUCAAAUGUGGCAGCGUUGGUCAACUGGAAUUUUUCAGCAAGGGAGCAUUGUUGGGCAUCAUGAAUAAAUUGUGACCAAGAAGAAUAAAAAAUAAGAAAAUGGCAGCGUUUUAUGACGCUAACUCAGAAAAAUAAAUUAGCUUGGAAUGAGUGUAUGUAUAGAAAGUCAUCCUCAGGUAACAAGUUGUCACACAUUUAGUUCACUUGAUUCUACUGUAUUAUUGGUUUUUCUUUCACCAUCCAUUGGUUGCUUCAAAAUGGCAUUAUUAGAAUUCCCAUUUUUUUUCAUUUGAGGCUCACUUCUUGCUGGUUCUUUUGAGUUGGUUUCAGGCACGAUGUUCUUUUUUUUGUUCUUGUAGAUGAAGUACAAUAUCAUCUGAACUAAUCCAAGAAGGAAUAUUUGAUGUCUGAAUAUACAAGCAGACACCAAAGAGAAAAUUAAGGGUUUGUAUUUUAGUGCUUGAAAAUUGGUCUAAUAAUAAGUUUUUGUUGGUAAUUAGCUAGCGAAAACGGUUUUGAAGGAGAGCGAUGAAGAGCCAGGGGUUGAGAAUGAGAAAGCAGAGUCCGCUGCUCUUCCUCCAUCUGAGGGGGUUCCUGAAACAACAGGUAAAGAAGAACCCGCUGCAGAUGGUCAUGACGCUGUUAAUACCCAACAGGCUUCUGUUGAGGAUUCGAAGACAGAUGAUGCUGAGGAAAAAGAGGAAACUGAGAAACAUUCUGAGGAGGACGAGGAUCCCGUAACUGACACUCAAACUGCCUCACGCAAAAUGGAGGUUCCCAAUGAUAAGGUUGGGGUUCUUAUUGGAAAGGGUGGAGAUACUAUUCGUUACCUGCAGUAUAAUUCUGGGGCAAAAAUUCAAAUCACAAGGGAUGCUGAUGCUAAUCCUCAAUCCACAACAAGGCCAGUAGAAAUAAUAGGGACUUUAAGUAAUAUAAAGAAGGCUGAGAAGCUCAUUAAUGCUGUCAUAGCAGAGGCUGAUGCUUGUGGUUCCCCCUCCCUUGUAGCUAGGGGCCUACCUAGUGCACAGACAGGUGGAGUGGGAGAACAACUUGAGAUGCAAGUUCCAAAUGAGAAGGUUGGUCUGAUCAUAGGCAGAGGUGGGGACGCCAUUAAAGCUCUCCAAGCCAAAUCGGGAGCACGCAUUCAGUUGAUACCUCAACAUCUUCCAGAAGGGGAUGGUUCCAAAGAAAGGACAGUGAGAGUGACUGGUGAUAGAAAGCAAAUUGAGAUGGCUAGAGAAAUGAUAAAGGAUGUUAUGAAUCAGGUUUGUUAUUUACGUUUCUUAGUUUCCGCACAAUUCAGGCCUAGUUCCUUUCAGUUGUAAUUGCAUCUAUUUGAUAGCUAUAUUGGUUAAUAUUUGAGUAGUUUCUAAUUGUAUUCUUCAAUUAAUUUUUAUGUUGAUAAAUUUUGCUGAAUGGUUAUCGCUAUCUGUUUUAAUCCAUUGUGAGACCCUCUAGUAAUGUGAAAUUAAGAAUUGAAUAAUCCAAAAUGCGAUAUUGGAUAUUUGCUAGUGAUUGAGUGGUGAAUUUUGAUGUUCCAUAUAUGAUUUUCUUUAAUUCCUUGGUCAAUGCAUGUGUAGGAUCUCAUGAGCUGUACUCAUGCGCCAUUAGUGUUUCAAGUUGGCAACAUGUUAUGAAUGUGUGCUUUGCUUUCAGCACCUUGUUAUUCAUGGUUUUACUUUGAUUAGUGGCAUCUCAUUGAAUAUACUUUUGUUAAAAAGGGUUGAUUUGGCAUAAAAGUGAUCAGCUUAGUGGUGCUUGCUUAACAAUGAUGUUAGGUAUAUAAUUUAUGCGGUGAAUGCAGAAAGCAACUCUUUUUUUAAAUAUUUAAUAUGAUUGGCAUCAUCUUUAAGAGCAAAUUGAAGAGGAAAUGCAAAUAUGUAGAAAUUCCUUUAGAAUGUAAGACCUUUUACAUUCUUUUGUUUCUGAAGUCGGAUUCUAGCAAUUGCCUAUUGUGAUUCCAAUUAAUGUUUUCUGUGCAAAUCUUGUUUGACUGGAUCAAUGAGAUGAUGGUCUAUAUCUCUGGCUUUGCCAAGCUACAUGCAGUUGUAGAUCAUGAUUUGUUUUGUUUGCAUGUGUAGCACCUUUUUGUCCAUUUGAGGGAAGGUUAUGUCAUAGUUUUCUGUGGGAAUGAGAGCUAAUUAGUUGAUACGUGGGAAGUUGUGGUAUUGAUGAAUGAUUCAUUCCAAGGUCACUUGAAUGCUCUUAGGAAGAUCAUAUAUGCAAUCCAAGAUGUCGGUUGCCACGAUUUAUUUAUGAUGAAAAUGCCGAUUUCGAAUUGGUUGACCUUAAAAAUGCAGAUUUGGCUUUUGCCUUUCCCAUGGGGCCAGCAUUGCUUUCUCGGUGUAGGAAUAGACAACCACCAUUCACUUUCAUCCACUGAAGAGAGAUAUCAGGCAUUAAAUCUCGCAAUUGCUGGAUGUUAAUAGUUGGUAAGAUUGCUUUGAGACUUGAAAGUUAAAAAUCAUUCAGUGAGACUGUAUUGUGUUAACCUUAGUGCUCUUUAGUGCCCCUUCUAUGAAUGAGACAUUUGUUGGAAGAAGUAUAAUUCGCGGUGAAGUCAUAGUGUAUGAAGUCAUUUUCAGAUUGAUACAUAUAUUAAUUCAUAUCUAUUGCUGUGCUGAACAUAUGAAGAAUGUGGUACAUGUUCUAUGACAUGUAUUGGGCUGCUGCAAAGUUGCAAUAAAGGCUCAAUUACCAAGUUAAGAUCAGUACAAGAAUAUGUUUUGUUGCCCUUGUAACGUGCUAGUUUUCCUAAAUAGAGUAACGUGAUGUGUUGAUGAGUUAGCAUGCACGAAUGAUUUAGGACGGGCAUUUGGUUAUGAUGAAGAUCUUGACUCUUGAAGCAUUGGUGUCCUAUUAACUCUGAUAAAUUUUCAACUUCAAAGGCUCCUCCUGAAAUUCUAAAUGUUUCUCUUUUAUGGAUUUUCAGUUUUGAGUUUACCUUUUAUGCAAUUAUGUGUUGGUCAUCGUGGCAGUGCAGAAUUGAACUUGAGAUUAUAAUGUUUGCAACAGUUUUGCAGUUCAACAUGAUUGUUUCUGCAGUUCAUUUUGCCCCAUUCUUUUGGUUUGUAAGUUUCUGCAAAUUUCAUGUAUUAAAUUGUAGUCUGAAUGUAGACAUGUGGAUUCACUUCCUGAUGAACUCUGGGUACGGUAACAUAUGUAGGCUUUUCUUCACUAGAUGAGAGAUGGAUACUUUAACAUGUUUGUGUUGGGAAUUCAUAUUGUUCUGGGCUGAACAGGAUUAUUAUGUGUAUUGUGUAAAUUCAAAAAGGGGAAGCUACAUAGAAGGGCCUAUAGGCUGUCAUUCGGAAUGCAUAAGUUUAUGGCAGCGCUUUGUGUUUUCAUAAUGAUUUGUGAAAAUUUAAAUUUAUGGACAAGUAUUCUCUUAUAUUAUUAAAAUGCGAAUCUUGCCAGUUGUUAGGAAGCACGACUUUCAGAGCAUAUAUACAUGUGUCAUGUGUGACCUGACCUAUUUAAAGUUCCAUUAUUUCUCUAUGUUUUUUCCACUGUCCCAUUUUGCUUGACCUGCAUCCUUCUCUGUUUGGCCUUUUAGUUCUUUAAAUUAUGACUGUCAGUUGAAGAAAAUAAUUCAGGCAUGUAUCACAUGGUAAGUUUAUUGCAUCUUAAUGUUCCAGGAUUUUGGCCCAAAGACUUGUUAUCCUCCAAUGAUUGAACAGGAGUAGUGUCAAGCUAUCAUUCUGUUUCUUGUUUUACUUUAGAAAGGUCUAAAGGAUGGGAUGCUGUCGUGUUCAUAUUGUUAGUUAUUAGCAUGAGUUUUAAUUUUAUAAGAUUGUUUUCCAUUGUUUAGUUGCCAACUGUUAUGAUGUUGAUGAUUAAUUUUAUAAUUGAAGCAAUUUUUAUACCUUUUUUUUAUUUUAAUUUAUGUUUUCUGUUUUCAAUUCUUAUGGCUAAUUUUGUAUGCGUUACAUGCCUUGCAUGUUAUUAUUGUCAGGGUUUUACCCAGGUGUUUGCUUUGGAAAAGGAGACAUGUUUUUUGAAUUUAAGCAGCUACUGUGCCUUACUCGUACUGUUUAUUUUAAUUUUUUUAAUAAUUCCUUUUUAUUGGAUAAUUGCUUCUUACUAACUUUAUUUUUGUAAUUUGCCUUGGGUAGACUGUGAGGUCAUCACCUUACUCCGGCAGUUUCAACCAGCAGCAUUCCUAUCGACCCCGUGGAUCCACUGGUCCAUCAAAUUGGGGUCCGCGAGGCCCUCAUUCAUCACAGCCAAAUCCUUACGAUUAUCAUCUCCGAGGACCUUAUCCUUCUCAAAGUUCACAGUAUCCACCUCCAAGUUAUGGUGGUUAUCCUCCCCAACAAAUGGGCCCAAGAGGUAACUUUGGUUCUGGUUGGGAGCAAAGACCUCCCACCAUGCAGGGGCCAGUUCCGCAUGGUGGAGUUUAUGACUACGGUGUCCAGGGAGGCCAUGUAUCUGAUCACCCAGCGUCUGGCCCAAUUUCUACUCCUGUUUCUGGGCAUGCUCCUGGCCCAUCCCCUACCCCUGCCAUGUCCCAUCCCCCAUCACAGGUAAAUUAUAAUUAUGGGCAGCCACAUGGUCCAGAUUAUGGGCAUCAAGCUCCUUAUUCCCAGGCGGUACCUUCUCAGCAGAGCUAUGGGCAUGGAUAUGAUGAACCAAAGUAUGACAAUCAUGCUCCAAUGCAGCAUCCUUAUGGACAUGGAAGUUCCCAACCAGUAUAUCCACAAGCCAGCAAUCAACCAGGCUAUAGGGCGCAGCAGCAGUAUGGAAAGCAACCAUCAUGUGGCAUGCCAUUGCAGGGACCACCUCCCCAAUCAUAUGGCCCUCCUAGGCCUAGUCAACCUGGUGAUAUGCCAUAUCAAGGUCCCAUUCAAUCCAGUCAAUCAUAUGGUCCAAAUGUGCCACCUCAACAGCAGUAUCCUUAUGCAUCAAGUGGGCCAAUGCAGCAAUCGUAUCCUUCAUAUGGAUCUGCAUCAGGAGCUGAGGGGUACAAUCAGGCAAUGCCUACUUCUGGCCCCGGCUAUCCACAGCAAGGUAGCCAGCCAGUUCCAUCUUAUGGUCAGCCUGGUGGACAACAGUCAACUGGCUAUGUGCAAGGUCCAACCAGUGGUUAUGGAUUAUACCCAUCUUCGCAACAAUGUUAUCCAGAACAGCCAGCUUCAAACAAUGCAGGUUAUGGGUAUCAAGGGUCUCAAGAUCCUGCUUAUGGCAGUGGCCCUGGGGCAACCUAUAGUGCACCACCAAGUGGCCAGCAGGCUUAUGCUCAGCCAACAGCAACUCAACCAAGUUAUGAUCAGUCGGUUCCUCAGUCAGGUGCAUAUGGAGCUGCUCCAGGAAGUGCACCAGUUGGGUAUGGGAAAAACCUUGUCUCCCUAGCGCACUUACCCUCAAUAUGACUCAACUCUGAUAUAUGUUGCACCGCUCUGAGAAUUUAGUUAUAGCUUGAUGGCGAGUUUGUACUGCUGAUGCAUAUUGAGCUUUUGCAGUUAAGUAUUACAAAUAUGUUAUUAUCCGGGUAGUAUUAGCUUUAGAUAUUUGACAUUUAGGUCUUCUUCUGACUACCAAUCGAACACCAAGAUUAUGUAUCUGCAUGAUGCUGACUGGGAAUGCAUCUAAGUUUAUUGUCAUUGUUGUUUUCUUUUUUGCUAUGAUCAUUGUUUUCCUUCUCUUUGAAGUGGGCUUUUUGUGUGGAUGGAUUGUAUGAUUUGGAUCUGGGGUUUUUAUUUAAGCGAAUCAUGAGCAGCCG